ACAAAUGCCAGGGCCUAUAGCUCCUAGAUUGUGUUUGAUUUAUGUUGUUUAAAUGUUGUUAUUGGUAGCCUGUAAUUCUGUCUUUAAGCUACAAAAGGAAUCAGAGUCAUUGCAUGUGCAGAUUUGGAGAUAUUCGUGGUCAAACCACGUUGACGGCUUUGACCGGGUACUUUCUGGGCAAGCCUAGAAAGGGAAAUCAGUGUCUGACAAGAAGUUUGAGCCUUUAGAUCUGUCAGUCUGUUUGUUGUAUGAUGUCUUUAUUGCUUGUAGAUUGUA
RNAcentral lists this long non-coding RNA (276 nucleotides) under Panax ginseng (ginseng). RNAcentral describes it as "long non-coding RNA (PGIN_LNC014494)". Lineage: Eukaryota; Viridiplantae; Streptophyta; Magnoliopsida; Apiales; Araliaceae. The record is from RNAcentral.